Molecule: ribosomal RNA, 493 nt
Filed under: uncultured bacterium
Lineage: Bacteria
Description: partial 16S ribosomal RNA
Rfam family: Bacterial small subunit ribosomal RNA
Source: RNAcentral
GCGGCACGCCUAACACAUGCAAGUCGAGCGGCAGCGCGAUUAGUAGCAAUACUAAUUGGCGGCGAGCGGCGGACGGGUGAGGAACACGUAGGAACCUGCCCUUUAGCGGGGGACAACCAAGGGAAACUUUGGCUAAUACCGCGUAAUCUCGAAAGAGGAAAGCUGCCCGCAAGGGUGGCGCUAAAGGAGGGGCCUGCGUCCGAUUAGGUAGUUGGUGAGGUAAAGGCUCACAAAGGCUGUGAUCUGUAGCUGGUCUGAGAGGACGACCAGCCACACUGGAACUGAGACACGGUCCAGACUCCUACGGGAGGCAGCAGUGGGGAAUUUUGGACAAUGGGCGAAAGCCUGAUCCAGCCAUUCCGCGUGCAGGAUGAAGGCCCUCGGGUUGUAAACUGCUUUUGUACAGAACGAAAAGGUUUCUACUAAUACUAGGAGCUCAUGACGGUACUGUAAGAAAAAGCACCGGCUAACUACGUGCCAGCAGCCGCCGUAA